Molecule: unclassified non-coding RNA, 127 nt
Filed under: Pichia kudriavzevii
Lineage: Eukaryota; Fungi; Ascomycota; Pichiomycetes; Pichiales; Pichiaceae
Description: partial ITS1
Source: RNAcentral
CUGCGUGAGCGGAACGAAAACAANAACACCUAAAAUGUGGAAUAUAGCAUAUAGUCGACAAGAGAAAUCUACGAAAAACAAACAAAACUUUCAACAACGGAUCUCUUGGUUCUCGCAUCGAUGAAGA